GUCCUGGCAGUAAACGGUGCACACUUGGUGUGGGAGGAUUCGACCCCUCCUGUGCCGGAGCUAACGCGUUAAGUGUGCCGCCUGGGAAGUACGGUCGCAAGAUUAAAACUCAAAGAAAUUGACGGGGACCCGCACAAGCGGUGGAGUAUGUGGCUUAAUUCGAUGCAACGCGAAGAACCUUACCUGGUCUUGACAUGCAUCUUGUCGCCUGUGAAAGCAGGCUAGGGUAGCAAUACCCGAUUUGCACAGGUGCUGCAUGGCUGUCGU
Molecule: ribosomal RNA, 267 nt
Filed under: uncultured bacterium
Lineage: Bacteria
Description: partial 16S ribosomal RNA
Rfam family: Bacterial small subunit ribosomal RNA
Source: RNAcentral